UUUGCUGACGAGCGGCGGACGGGUGAGUAAUGCCUGGGAAUAUACCCUGAUGUGGGGGAUAACUAUUGGAAACGAUAGCUAAUACCGCAUAAUCUCUUCGGAGCAAAGAGGGGGACCUUCGGGCCUCUCGCGUCAGGAUUAGCCCAGGUGGGAUUAGCUAGUUGGUGGGGUAAUGGCUCACCAAGGCGACGAUCCCUAGCUGGUCUGAGAGGAUGAUCAGCCACACUGGAACUGAGACACGGUCCAGACUCCUACGGGAGGCAGCAGUGGGGAAUAUUGCACAAUGGGGGAAACCCUGAUGCAGCCAUGCCGCGUGUAUGAAGAAGGCCUUCGGGUUGUAAAGUACUUUCAGUUGUGAGGAAGGCGUUGGAGUUAAUAGCUUCAGCGCUUGACGUUAGCAACAGAAGAAGCACCGGCUAACUCCGUGCCAGCAGCCGCGGUAAUACGGAGGGUGCGAGCGUUAAUCGGAAUUACUGGGCGUAAAGCGCAUGCAGGCGGUCUGUUAAGCAAGAUGUGAAAGCCCGGGGCUCAACCUCGGAACAGCAUUUUGAACUGGCAGACUAGAGUCUUGUAGAGGGGGGUAGAAUUUCAGGUGUAGCGGUGAAAUGCGUAGAGAUCUGAAGGAAUACCGGUGGCGAAGGCGGCCCCCUGGACAAAGAC
This 660-nucleotide ribosomal RNA is filed under the name uncultured Photobacterium sp. RNAcentral describes it as "bacterial SSU rRNA". It matches the Rfam family "Bacterial small subunit ribosomal RNA", at positions 84 to 740 of the family's 1533-position model. Lineage: Bacteria; Pseudomonadati; Pseudomonadota; Gammaproteobacteria; Vibrionales; Vibrionaceae. The record is from RNAcentral.